This 216-nucleotide ribosomal RNA is filed under the name uncultured bacterium. Its description in RNAcentral is "partial 16S ribosomal RNA". It matches the Rfam family "Bacterial small subunit ribosomal RNA", at positions 122 to 334 of the family's 1533-position model. The record is from RNAcentral.
UAACCUGCCUGGUAGCGGGGAUAACUAUUGGAAACGAUAGCUAAUACCGCAUAACAGUAGAUAUCGCAUGAUAUUUGCUUGAAAGGUGCAAUUGCACCACUACCAGAUGGACCUGCGUUGUAUUAGCUAGUUGGUGAGGUAACGGCUCACCAAGGCAACGAUACAUAGCCGACCUGAGAGGGUGAUCGGCCACACUGGGACUGAGACACGGCCCAG